Lates calcarifer (barramundi perch) is the source of this 2039-nucleotide long non-coding RNA. RefSeq lists it as uncharacterized. The transcript is spliced from 5 exons. The record is from RefSeq and is a predicted model, not a curated record. Lineage: Eukaryota; Metazoa; Chordata; Actinopteri; Centropomidae.
GAGAGUUCUACAUCUCAACUGGAGUUUUUUCUGCCAUUGUUGGCUUACGUCAUCAUUAGCUAUGGCAUUCUGGGAGAAACGCAGAGAGGCGGAGAAACGAAGUUGGAAAACAGAUUUAAACAAACGUUUGAGCCGUUGUCUUGGUUUGUCAGUACUGUGAGAACACUUAGUUACCGAAGAGGCCUGGAUGCUAGAACAAGCUUUGAAGCUAUUUUUUUUUAAUCGAACACGAGUGAGACUGGACGCUGAACACACCUGCAGCGCGAAGGUGUCACCACUUCGUCCACAACAUCGUCCACAACCGCAGAGACAUGGUCCAUGAUCGGAGAGACAUUGUUGAGGAUGAGGGAGACAUAGUCCACGAUCAGAUACAUUGUCCAUGAUCGCAGAGACCUUGUCAAAGAUGAGAGAGGCGUUGUCCAUGAUCAGAGAUAUUGUCCCAUGCUUCGUAGAGACCUUGCGAUAGAAUCGGCGGAGACGGGGGUCACCGAUUUGACGGCAUUGCCCGCGAUCAGGGACAUUGUCGAUGAUCACAGAGACACCGUCUAUGAUCUCAGAGACAUCGUCCACGAUCACAAAGACAUAGUCCAUGAUCACAGAGACUUUGUCCAUAAUCUCAGAGACACUGUCCGCGAUCACAGAGACGUAGUCCACGAUUGCAGAGAGUCUUCAUACAAUGAAGAACUUCUUUGGGACCAGGACAGAAGCCUCCAGGUCUCACCACUUCGUCCAUGACAUCGUCCACGAUCGCAGAGACGUGGUCCAUGAUCGGAGAGACAUUGUUGAGGAUGAGGGAGACAUAGUCCACGAUCAGAUACAUUGUCCAUGAUCGCAGAGACCUUGUCAAAGAUGAGAGAGGCGUUGUCCAUGAUCAGAGAUAUUGUCCCAUGCUUCGUAGAGACCUUGCGAUAGAAUCGGCGGAGACGGGGGUCACCGAUUUGACGGCAUUGCCCGCGAUCAUGGAGACAUUGUCGAUGAUCACAGAGACACCGUCUAUGAUCUCAGAGACAUCGUCCACGAUCAUAAAGACAUAGUCCAUGAUCACAGAGACUUUGUCCAUAAUCUCAGAGACACUGUCCGCGAUCACAGAGACGUAGUCCACGAUGGCAGAGUCUUCAUACAAUGAAGAACUUCUUUGAGACCAUGAAAUAAGCCUCCAGGUCUCAUCACUUCGUCCAUGACAUCGUCCACGAUCGCAGAGACGUGGUCCAUGAUCGGAGAGACAUUGUUGAGGAUGAGGGAGACAUAGUCCACGAUCAGAUACAUUGUCCAUGAUCGCAGAGACCUUGUCAAAGAUGAGAGAGGCGUUGUCCAUGAUCAGAGAUAUUGUCCCAUGCUUCGUAGAGACCUUGCGAUAGAAUCGGCGGAGACGGGGGUCACCGAUUUGACGGCAUUGCCCGCGAUCAUGGAGACACUGUCGAUGAUCACAGAGACACCGUCUAUGAUCUCAGAGACAUCGUCCACGAUCAUAAAGACAUAGUCCAUGAUCACAGAGACUUUGUCCAUAAUCUCAGAGACACUGUCCGCGAUCACAGAGACGUAGUCCACGAUGGCAGAGUCUUCAUACAAUGAAGAACUUCUUUGAGACCAUGAAAGAAGCCUCCAGGAGGAGAAGACGACAGCAGCUGAAGACCUGAAGUGGAUGAAAGAAAACAAAAAUGUUACAAAGCUGUAAUUAGAUUAAAAAAUAAAAAUAAAAAAAACUCCAUCUGUAAACAGUGCUGGUGUCCUGUUAUUUUAGUGAAAACACUUCUACCAUCUAUAAUGGAGUCAUGGGCACAUUUUCCAAAGACUUAUGUCUUUAUUAAACACCUGUGAGAGCAUUCAACUGCUUAUGAUACAAUUAUUUAAUUAAUAAUUGUAUCAAAAGCAGUUAAAUGAUCACAAAGAUGCUUAGUAGACAUGUUCCGCUUUGGAAAAUGUGCUCAUAACUACAUUAACCCUAACUAGCUCUGUUUCCUUGUGGUCAAAUGUCUGUCAUUAUAUUUUUCCGUGAUUUGUUAUAUGUUGUCUGGAAUAAAAUCAUUAAAAGUGUCUUC